GGCUUACACAUGCAAGUCGAGCGGAGANGAGGNGCUUGCACCUUAUCUUAGCGGCGGACGGGUGAGUAAUGCUUAGGAAUCUGCCUAUUAGUGGGGGACAACAUUCCGAAAGGAAUGCUAAUACCGCAUACGUCCUACGGGAGAAAGCAGGGGAUCUUCGGACCUUGCGCUAAUAGAUGAGCCUAAGUCGGAUUAGCUAGUUGGUGGGGUAAAGGCCUACCAAGGCGACGAUCUGUAGCGGGUCUGAGAGGAUGAUCCGCCACACUGGGACUGAGACACGGCCCAGACUCCUACGGGAGGCAGCAGUGGGGAAUAUUGGACAAUGGGGGGAACCCUGAUCCAGCCAUGCCGCGUGUGUGAAGAAGGCCUUAUGGUUGUAAAGCACUUUAAGCGAGGAGGAGGCUACUGAGACUAAUACUUUUGGAUAGUGGACGUUACUCGCAGAAUAAGCACCGGCUAACUCUGUGCCAGCAGCCGCGGUAAUACAGAGGGUGCGAGCGUUAAUCGGAUUUACUGGGCGUAAAGCGUGCGUAGGCGGCUUUUUAAGUCGGAUGUGAAAUCCCCGAGCUUAACUUGGGAAUUGCAUUCGAUACUGGGAAGCUAGAGUAUGGGAGAGGAUGGUAGAAUUCCAGGUGUAGCGGUGAAAUGCGUAGAGAUCUGGAGGAAUANCGAUGGCGAAGGCAGCCAUCUGGCCUAAUACUGACGCUGAGGUACGAAAGCAUGGGGAGCAAACAGGAUUAGAUAC
This 745-nucleotide ribosomal RNA is filed under the name uncultured Acinetobacter sp. RNAcentral's name for it is "bacterial SSU rRNA". It matches the Rfam family "Bacterial small subunit ribosomal RNA", at positions 45 to 785 of the family's 1533-position model. The record is from RNAcentral. Lineage: Bacteria; Pseudomonadati; Pseudomonadota; Gammaproteobacteria; Moraxellales; Moraxellaceae.